RNAcentral lists this long non-coding RNA (364 nucleotides) under Helianthus annuus (common sunflower). RNAcentral describes it as "sRNA HanXRQr2_Chr08g0348001". The record is from RNAcentral. Lineage: Eukaryota; Viridiplantae; Streptophyta; Magnoliopsida; Asterales; Asteraceae.
UUUAAUUGAGAUUUUUUUAAUUAUUCGUUUAUAUUUAAACUAUGUUGAAGGAUCUCAAGCCGUGUUGAAAGUUUUCAAGCCGUGUUGAAAAAUCUUAAGCCAUACCAAGCCGUUACACUAAAAGAUCUCAAGCCGUGUUGAAAAGGCUUAAGCCAUGUUGAAAAGGCUUAAACCAUAUCCGUGUUGAAAAGGCUUAAGCCAUAUGUUGAAAGAUCUCAAGCUGUGUUGAAAAGGCUUAAGCCAUGUUGAGAGAUCUCAAAUGGACACGUGGCAUUUAUCGAUUGGUUGAACUGAAAGAACUUUUUAAGCCGUUUCAGCUUUUUGAAACGGCUCGUUGAGCCGUUUCCAGUGGCUAUUUUUGAAA